GUAGUCUCGCACAGAUGCAUAUCAAUAAGCGGAGGAAAAGAAACUAACAAGGAUUCCCCUAGUAACGGCGAGUGAAGCGGGAAGAGCUCAAAUUUGAAAUCUUAAAGGGUUUCCCUUUACGAAUUGUAGUUUAAAGAAGUGUUUUCUGUUGAGGUUUUGGUAAAAGUUCUUUGGAAUAGGACAUCAUAGAGGGUGAGAAUCCCGUAUUUGACCUUUACUUUCAACUUUGUGAUACACUUUCAAAGAGUCGGAUUGUUUGGGAAUGCAGUCCAAAAUGGGUGGUAAAUUUCAUCUAAAGCUAAAUAUUGGCGAGAGACCGAUAGCGAACAAGUACCGUGAGGGAAAGAUGAAAAGAACUUUGAAAAGAGAGUUAAACAGUACGUGAAAUUGUCAAAAGGGAAGCGUUUGACACCAGUGUUGUUUUUCUGAAAAUCAAUUAAAGAACUGUUUAUGCUAAGCUGUUUAGACUUUAUCAGCUAUCUGUUUAGUUUUGAGCUUUUCUUUAAUGCACUUUUCAGUUAACAAGUCAACAUCAAUUUCUUUUGCUGUAAAAAAGCUUGAGGAAGGUGGCUUGAGAUUCGUCUUAAGUGUUUAUAGCCUCUUGCCUAUGCAGUCGGAGAGAUUGAGGUCUGCAGCGUAGAUCCUUCGGGGCUAAAUGCAUUUGUGCUAAGUUAUAGCAUUUUAUAGACAACUUGUUGACUAUGAUUUGUCUUGUAGCUUACUCGCUUAUGUUAUUUUACCUACGCUUAGGAUGUUGAACUACUGAGACAUAGA
This 774-nucleotide ribosomal RNA is filed under the name uncultured Neocallimastigales. RNAcentral describes it as "partial large subunit ribosomal RNA". It matches the Rfam family "Eukaryotic large subunit ribosomal RNA", at positions 24 to 644 of the family's 3401-position model. Lineage: Eukaryota; Fungi; Neocallimastigomycota; Neocallimastigomycetes; Neocallimastigales. The record is from RNAcentral.